GAUUUUAUUGGUGCUUCCAUCACUAUAAUAGCUGUAUUUGUGGGAAUGUGAACCUAUACUUGGGGAAAUAAUCAAAAUGGUAGUAGCAUGGCACUAACUUAGUGCUCCAUUGUGUCUGUACUGAUUAAAAAUCUAACUGGUGGGGUCUAAAUUCUAUCGGCUUACACAAAUUUUCAAACAUUCCACUUCAUAGUGAAGUUUUUUGCAAGUUGCUUCAGUUUCCAUACGAUGAAUGUUGCAGAGCUUAUGAUAUCUGACACUAUAAUUCUUUUAGUUUUCUUUUUGUUGAUUUUCAUUGUCUAUUUGGUGAAAUUUCAUUGGGUUUAAGGCUUAACUUAUUAUCAUGUAUUUUUGCUGUGUCUUUGGUGACAAACACAGGAAUGGGACUCACAAGAAGCAU
Molecule: unclassified non-coding RNA, 400 nt
Filed under: Hevea brasiliensis (rubber tree)
Lineage: Eukaryota; Viridiplantae; Streptophyta; Magnoliopsida; Malpighiales; Euphorbiaceae
Source: RNAcentral